Molecule: ribosomal RNA, 447 nt
Filed under: uncultured bacterium
Lineage: Bacteria
Description: bacterial SSU rRNA
Rfam family: Bacterial small subunit ribosomal RNA
Source: RNAcentral
ACCAGACUCCUACGGGAGGCAGCAGUGGGGAAUAUUGCACAAUGGGGGAAACCCUGAUGCAGCGACGCCGCGUGAGUGAAGAAGUAUUUCGGUAUGUAAAGCUCUAUCAGCAGGGAAGAAGAAGGACGGUACCUGAGUAAGAAGCCCCGGCUAACUACGUGCCAGCAGCCGCGGUAAUACGUAGGGGGCAAGCGUUAUCCGGAUUUACUGGGUGUAAAGGGAGCGUAGACGGCGAAGAAAGUCUGAAGUGAAAGCCCGCGGCUCAACCGCGGGACUGCAUUGGGAACUACCGGGCUGGAGUGCCGGAGGGGUAGGCGGAAUUCCUAGUGUAGCGGUGAAAUGCGUAGAUAUUAGGAGGAACACCAGUGGCGAAGGCGGCCUACUGGACGGUGACUGACGCUGAGGCUCGAAAGCGUGGGGAGCAAACAGGAUUAGAUACCCUUGUAA